RNAcentral lists this long non-coding RNA (352 nucleotides) under Salmo salar (Atlantic salmon). RNAcentral describes it as "lncRNA (ENSSSAG00000100219.1)". The record is from RNAcentral. Lineage: Eukaryota; Metazoa; Chordata; Actinopteri; Salmoniformes; Salmonidae.
CGGAUCUCUCGGUGACUGGACUCUCUCUCUCCGUCUCGCCUGUGGCGCCGGUUGUUGUUUAGCGGGGGGCUUUGACACGUUGACGAAAGAAACAUGACAGGGACUGGGGGAAAAACGACCCGGAAUUAGUCCUCAAUUAAGGUGUACCAGCAGAGCAUAGGCAGUUACCAGCACCCGAGAAAAAGACAGCUGCUUUUUGCAAUAAAUACAAAACAUGUCAUUUCUGAACAGUGAAGGUAUUACGGCGGAUUCAUCUUCAUCCCUCUUGUAACAAAAGCUGUUCAUCUUAAAACAAUACACAAACUGGGUAAAAACCAAAACAUCUGUAUCGUUUCACUGAGUAAAGUUAAUG